Molecule: long non-coding RNA, 1017 nt
Organism: Calidris pugnax (ruff)
Lineage: Eukaryota; Metazoa; Chordata; Aves; Charadriiformes; Scolopacidae
Exons: 4
Source: RefSeq, a predicted model, not a curated record
GGUGACAACAAUCCUGGAGCCACGCUGUGGAGUGAGGAUGAGUGCUCUGAGAAGGUGGCCGCCAAUCAGUGGAGUUCAGAUCUUGCUCCAACACAACAUUCCCUUCACCACGUCCUUGCUUUCUUUGUUGAAGAGCUUGUUGGAGCUUUGAGACUGAGAAAUGCACCUCAUACAUCUUACUUCCUCAUGAGAAUACUGGGAAGCACAAGGUUCCUCUAAAGAAGGAGGGGCUGGAUCUGUGGAUGAGGAUGAUUUUAUUAAGGCAUUUGCAGAUGUUCCUACUGUACAGGUGGAAGCAGCUCUCAAGGAACACAGCAACAUCUACAUGCGGGAAGCAGCUAAGGACCGAGAUCUUUGCAAACAGAGAUGUGCAUAUGGUGAUAUUUGAAAGUCUUGAAACUUCUUGCCUCAACUGGAAGAGAACAGAAACUCAUAAAAAAAUAAAGAUGGAAAAUGCAUCAGUAUCUAUGGAAAGCAAGUUUCAGAAAGAAAGCACCUACCUCACCUACACGAACACACAAAUAAUGUGCCUCAGCCCUCGCCCAGCGGAGAAGCCAAGCACCACGGGAUUUAUCCUACCGACCAGGAGCAGACAAUGGCACUUGGAACCAGCAUGUGUGGGCUGAAUGUUUCAAGAGAAAUUUGUCAAGUAGGUUUGAGUAAUGAAUGUAUCUGAGGAAGCCAUAAUAUAUGAGCAGGAAAAAAAUUUAAAAGGUUUAAAUGCAUUAAAUGAGUUAUCUGCAGCAAAUUAGUCGCACAGCUCUCCUGCCUACAAGUUCCUUUGGUGGGAUUUGUAUAUUCUGGCACAUGAAGCUCCAAGCUCAAUUACAAAUAGCCUCCCCGGCUGCCUCUGCAUCCGACUCCUCCCAGAACUGGGGGCAAGUGUCACUGUCAUUUCACCUGACAGCUUUACUCAGAUCAUAAACACCACCACCCAGCAAUAAAGCCCAAUAAUGAAAAGGCAUUACCACCUAUAAAGGGACCCUGCUGCAGGCUGUUCGCAUACUUGCCAAAUGG